AGUUGAUCCUGCUGGAGGCCGCUGCUAUUGGGAUCCGACUAAGCCAUGCAAGUCCAGGGGUCCUUCGGGACACCGGCAAACUGCUCAGUAACACGUCGAUAAUCUGCCCUCGGGUUCAGGAUAACCUUGGGAAACUGAGGCUAAACCUGUAUAUGGGAAUUCUACUGGAAUGUGUUUUCCUUUAAAGGUGACGCCCGAGGAUGAGUUGGCGGCGGAUUAGCUUGUUGGUGGGGUAAUGGCCCACCAAGGCGAUGAUCCGUAGGGGCCUUGAAAGAGGUAGCCCCGAGAAGGGCACUGAGAUACUGGCCCUAGCCCUACGGGGUGCAGCAGGCGCGAAACCUUUACACUACACGAAAGUGUGAUAAGGGGAUCCCAAGUGCCUAUACUCUGUAUAGGCUUUUUUUCAAGAGUAAAUAUCUUGGAGAAUAAGUGGUGGGAAAGACUGGUGCCAGCAGCCGCGGUAAUACCAGCGCCACAAGUAGGGGCCAUGGUUAUUGGGCCUAAAGCGUUCGUAGCAGGCUAUGUAAAUCUCUUGUGAAAUCGUUGGGCUUAACCUAACGGCGUGCAGGAGAGACUGCGUAGCUCGAGACCGGGAGGGGUAAGAGGUAUUUCUGGGGGAGCGGUAAAAUGCUAUAAUCCCAGGAGGACCACCUGUGGCGAAGGCGUCUUACCAGAACGGUUCUGACUGUGAGGGACGAAAGCCAGGGGAGCAAACCGGAUUAGAUACCCGAGUAGUCCUGGCCGUAAACGCUGCGAGCAAGGUGUUGCAUAUUCUAACAUGGAUAUGCAGUGUCGAAACGAAGGUGUUAAGCUCGCCGCCUGGGAAGUACGGUCGCAAGAUUGAAACUUAAAGGAAUUGGCGGGGGAGCACUACAAGGGGUGCGGCGUGCGGUUUAAUUGAACUCAACACCGGAAAUCUCACCAGGAGCGACGGCAGAAUGAAAGUCAGUCUAACGGGCUUACUUAACAAGCCGAGAGGUGGUGCAUGGCCGCCGUCAGCUCGUGCCGUAAGGUGUCCUGUUAAGUCAGGCAACGAGCGAGACCUGCAUCUACAAUUGCUACCAGCUCUAUCAGAGGACUGAGCACAUUGUAGAGACUGCCUGGGAAACCAGGAGGAAGGUGCAGGCCACGGUAGGUCUGUAUGCCCCGAAUCCCCUGUGCUACACGCGCGCAACAAUGGUAGGGACAAUGGGAUGCAACUCUGAAAAGAGAAGCUAAUCCUCGAAACCCUAUCCUAGUUCAGAUCGAGGGCUGCAACUCGCCCUCGUGACGUCGGAAUCCCUAGUAAUCGGAUGUCAUCAGCAUCCGGUGAAUACGUCCCUGCUCCUUGCACACACCGCCCGUCAAGCCACCCGAGCAGGGUUUGGGUGAGGCCUGGCCUAUUAGCUAGGUCGAACUUAGGCUCAGUGAGGAGGGCUAAGUCGUCACAAGGUA
This 1434-nucleotide ribosomal RNA is filed under the name metagenome. RNAcentral's name for it is "bacterial SSU rRNA". It matches the Rfam family "Archaeal small subunit ribosomal RNA". The record is from RNAcentral.